RNAcentral lists this ribosomal RNA (478 nucleotides) under Candida tropicalis. Its description in RNAcentral is "LSU rRNA". It matches the Rfam family "Eukaryotic large subunit ribosomal RNA", at positions 168 to 664 of the family's 3401-position model. The record is from RNAcentral. Lineage: Eukaryota; Fungi; Ascomycota; Pichiomycetes; Serinales; Debaryomycetaceae.
GUCUGGCUCUUGUCUAUGUUUCUUGGAACAGAACGUCACAGAGGGUGAGAAUCCCGUGCGAUGAGAUGAUCCAGGCCUAUGUAAAGUUCCUUCGAAGAGUCGAGUUGUUUGAGGAAUGCAGCUCUAAGUGGGUGGUAAAUUCCAUCUAAAGCUAAAUAUUGGCGAGAGACCGAUAGCGAAGAAGUACUAUGAUGGAAAGAUGAAAAGAACUUUGAAAAGAGAGUGAAAAAGUACGUGAAAUUGUUGAAAGGGAAGGGCUUGAGAUCAGACUUGGUAUUUUGUAUGUUACUUCUUCGGGGGUGGCCUCUACAGUUUAUCGGGCCAGCAUCAGUUUGGGCGGUAGGAAAAUUGCGUUGGAAUGUGGCACGGCUUCGGUUGUGUGUUAUAGCCUUCGUCGAUACUGCCAGCCUAGACUGAGGACUGCGGUUUAACCUAGGAUGUGGCAUAAUGAUCUUAAGUCGCCCCUCUUGAAACACAG